This 159-nucleotide ribosomal RNA is filed under the name Athelia sp. FP-133442. RNAcentral's name for it is "5.8S ribosomal RNA". It matches the Rfam family "5.8S ribosomal RNA". Rfam says of the family: 5.8S ribosomal RNA (5.8S rRNA) is a component of the large subunit of the eukaryotic ribosome. It is transcribed by RNA polymerase I as part of the 45S precursor that also contains 18S and 28S rRNA. Lineage: Eukaryota; Fungi; Basidiomycota; Agaricomycetes; Atheliales; Atheliaceae. The record is from RNAcentral.
CAACUUUCAACAACGGAUCUCUUGGCUCUCGCAUCGAUGAAGAACGCAGCGAAAUGCGAUAAGUAAUGUGAAUUGCAGAUUUUCAGUGAAUCAUCGAAUCUUUGAACGCACCUUGCGCCCCUUGGUAUUCCGAGGGGCAUGCCUGUUUGAGAGUCAUUA